RNAcentral lists this ribosomal RNA (717 nucleotides) under Stappia indica. RNAcentral describes it as "bacterial SSU rRNA". It matches the Rfam family "Bacterial small subunit ribosomal RNA", at positions 59 to 824 of the family's 1533-position model. Lineage: Bacteria; Pseudomonadati; Pseudomonadota; Alphaproteobacteria; Hyphomicrobiales; Stappiaceae. The record is from RNAcentral.
CAGUCGACGCACUCUUCGGAGUGAGUGGCAGACGGGUGAGUAACGCGUGGGAACAACCUAUCGGUUCGGAAUAACGUUCGGAAACGGACGCUAAUACCGGAUACGUCCUUCGGGAGAAAGAUUUAUCGCCGAUUGAUGGGCCCGCGUUGGAUUAGCUAGUUGGUGGGGUAAUGGCCCACCAAGGCGACGAUCCAUAGCUGGUCUAAGAGGAUGAUCAGCCACACUGGGACUGAGACACGGCCCAGACUCCUACGGGAGGCAGCAGUGGGGAAUAUUGGACAAUGGGCGAAAGCCUGAUCCAGCCAUGCCGCGUGAGUGAUGACGGCCUUAGGGUUGUAAAGCUCUUUCGCUAGGGAAGAUAAUGACGGUACCUAGUAAAGAAGCCCCGGCUAACUUCGUGCCAGCAGCCGCGGUAAUACGAAGGGGGCUAGCGUUGUUCGGAAUUACUGGGCGUAAAGCGCGCGUAGGCGGAUCAUUAAGUCAGGGGUGAAAUCCCGGGGCUCAACCUCGGAAUUGCCUCUGAUACUGGUGGUCUUGAGUCCGUGAGAGGUGAGUGGAACUCCGAGUGUAGAGGUGAAAUUCGUAGAUAUUCGGAAGAACACCAGUGGCGAAGGCGGCUCACUGGCACGGUACUGACGCUGAGGUGCGAAAGCGUGGGUAGCAAACAGGAUUAGAUACCCUGGUAGUCCACGCCGUAGACGAUGAUAGCUAGCCGUC